RNAcentral lists this ribosomal RNA (253 nucleotides) under uncultured bacterium. Its description in RNAcentral is "partial 16S ribosomal RNA". It matches the Rfam family "Bacterial small subunit ribosomal RNA", at positions 524 to 776 of the family's 1533-position model. The record is from RNAcentral.
UACGAAGGGGGCUAGCGUUGCUCGGAAUCACUGGGCGUAAAGCGCACGUAGGCGGUUUCUUAAGUCAGGGGUGAAAUCCUGGAGCUCAACUCCAGAACUGCCUUUGAUACUGGGAGACUCGAGUCCGGGAGAGGUGAGUGGAACUGCGAGUGUAGAGGUGAAAUUCGUAGAUAUUCGCAAGAACACCAGUGGCGAAGGCGGCUCACUGGCCCGGUACUGACGCUGAGGUGCGAAAGCGUGGGGAGCGAACAGG